Molecule: ribosomal RNA, 497 nt
Filed under: uncultured bacterium
Lineage: Bacteria
Description: partial 16S ribosomal RNA
Rfam family: Bacterial small subunit ribosomal RNA
Source: RNAcentral
GACGAACGCUGGCGGCGUGCCUAAUACAUGCAAGUCGAGCGAACAGACGAGGAGCUUGCGCCGCUGACGUUAGCGGCGGACGGGAGAGUAACACGUGUAUAACCUACCUAUAAGACUGGGAUAACCUCGGGAAACCGGAUCUAAUACCGGAUAAUAUAUUGAACCUCAUUGUGCAAUAGUGAAAUACGGUUGUUCGGUCACUUAUAGAUGGAUCCGCGCCGCAUGAGCUAGUUGGUAAGGUAACGGGUUACCAAGGCAACGAUGCGUAGCCGACCUCAGAGAGUGAUCGGCCACCUUGGAACUGAGACAGGGUCCAGACUCCUGCGGGAGGACGCAGUCGGGAAUCUUACGCAAUGGGGGAGAGCCUGACAGAGCAACGCGGCGUGAGUGAUGAAGGUCUUCGGAUCGUAAAGCUCUGUUAUUAGUGAAGAACAAAUGUGUCAUUAACCAUGCCGGUAUUGACGGUACCUAGUCAGAAAGCCCCGGCUAACUACGUG